Molecule: ribosomal RNA, 253 nt
Filed under: uncultured bacterium
Lineage: Bacteria
Description: partial 16S ribosomal RNA
Rfam family: Bacterial small subunit ribosomal RNA
Source: RNAcentral
UACGGGGGGGGUAAGCGUUGUUCGGAAUUACUGGGCGUAAAGGGCUCGUAGGCGGCCAACUAAGUCAUACGUGAAAUCCCUCAGCUUAACUGGGGAACUGCGUGUGAUACUGGAUGGCUUGGAUUUGGGAGAGGGAUGCGGAAUUCCAGGUGUAGCGGUGAAAUGCGUAGAUAUCUGGAGGAACACCGGUGGCGAAGGCGGCAUCCUGGACCGGUAUUGACGCUGAUGCGCGAAAGCCAGGGGAGCAAACGGG